GAAAGCUAGGGGAACAAACAGGAUUAGAUACCCUGGUAGUCCUAGCUGUAAACGGUGUGCAGUUGGUGUGGGGGGAAUUGACCCCCAACGUGCCGGAGCUAACGUGUUAAGUGCACCGCCUGGGGAGUACGGCCGCAAGGUUAAAACUCAAAGAAAUUGACGGGGGCCCGCACAAGCGGAGGAACAUGUGCCUCAAUUCGAUGCAACGCGAAGAACCUUACCAGGGCUUGACAUGCAGCUGCACGGCCGGUGAAUGCCGGUUUCCUUCGAGGGUGCUGCACAGGUGCUGCAUGGCGGUCGUCAGUUCGUGCUGUGAGGUGUUGGGUUAAGUCCCGCAACGAACGCAACCGUUGUGUUUAGUUGCCACCGGCGGUGAUGAGCCGUCGAGCACUCUAAAUAGACUGCCCGUACAAGCGGGAGGAAGGUGGGGAUAACGUCAAGUCAGUAUGGCCAUUACGCCCUGGGCUGCACACGUGGUACGAUGGCCGGUACAGAGGGAU
Molecule: ribosomal RNA, 500 nt
Filed under: uncultured Verrucomicrobiota bacterium
Lineage: Bacteria; Pseudomonadati; Verrucomicrobiota
Description: bacterial SSU rRNA
Rfam family: Bacterial small subunit ribosomal RNA
Source: RNAcentral